AGAGUUUGAUCCUGGCUCAGGACGAACGCUGGCGGCGUGCCUAACACAUGCAAGUCGAGCGAGUGGAGUUCUUCGGAACAAAGCUAGCGGCGGACGGGUGAGUAACACGUGGGCAACCUGCCUCAUAGAGGGGAAUAGCCUUCCGAAAGGGAGAUUAAUACCACAUAAGAUUGUAGCUUCGCAUGAAGUAGCAAUUAAAGGAGCAAUCCGCUAUGAGAUGGGCCCGCGGCGCAUUAGCUAGUUGGUGAGGUAACGGCUCACCAAGGCGACGAUGCGUAGCCGACCUGAGAGGGUGAUCGGCCACAUUGGGACUGAGACACGGCCCAGACUCCUACGGGAGGCGGCAGUGGGGAAUAUUGCACAAUGGGGGAAACCCUGAUGCAGCAACGCCGCGUGAGUGAUGACGGCCUUCGGGUUGUAAAGCUCUGUCUUCAGGGACGAUAAUGACGGUACCUGAGGAGGAAGCCACGGCUAACUACGUG
Molecule: ribosomal RNA, 482 nt
Filed under: uncultured Clostridium sp.
Lineage: Bacteria; Bacillati; Bacillota; Clostridia; Eubacteriales; Clostridiaceae
Description: bacterial SSU rRNA
Rfam family: Bacterial small subunit ribosomal RNA
Source: RNAcentral